RNAcentral lists this ribosomal RNA (477 nucleotides) under Streptococcus sanguinis. RNAcentral's name for it is "bacterial SSU rRNA". It matches the Rfam family "Bacterial small subunit ribosomal RNA", at positions 28 to 488 of the family's 1533-position model. The record is from RNAcentral. Lineage: Bacteria; Bacillati; Bacillota; Bacilli; Lactobacillales; Streptococcaceae.
GACGAACGCUGGCGGCGUGCCUAAUACAUGCAAGUAGAACGCUGAAGAGAGGAGCUUGCUCUUCUUGGAUGAGUUGCGAACGGGUGAGUAACGCGUAGGUAACCUGCCUGGUAGCGGGGGAUAACUAUUGGAAACGAUAGCUAAUACCGCAUGAUAUUAAUUGACGCAUGAUAAUUAAUUGAAAGAUGCAAUUGCAUCACUACCAGAUGGACCUGCGUUGUAUUAGCUAGUUGGUGAGGUAACGGCUCACCAAGGCGACGAUACAUAGCCGACCUGAGAGGGUGAUCGGCCACACUGGGACUGAGACACGGCCCAGACUCCUACGGGAGGCAGCAGUAGGGAAUCUUCGGCAAUGGGGGGAACCCUGACCGAGCAACGCCGCGUGAGUGAAGAAGGUUUUCGGAUCGUAAAGCUCUGUUGUAAGAGAAGAGCGGGUGUGAGAGUGGAUUUUUCCCCACUGGAGGGGAUCUACCAGAA